UCUGUCCAAAGUUAAAAAAUAUCAGCACCUCUAAAGCUUGUUUAUUUAAUCUGGACACAAACAAAAAAAUAUCAAAACCAUAGUUUUUGGUUUUAUGGGGAGUUACAUGCUGAUUCAUUUCUAGAAUUACUGAAUAUAAAUCAAACAUACAUACCUACAUUUAAAAAACGAUUGUCAGGUAAGUUUAAUAUAUCGUUUGGCCUCCUACAACUGUUUUUUUUUUUUUUACACAUCACUAAAAUCUUUCCUCGUAAAGACAUUCAUUACGUUUUAAUAGUUCAAUCUGCUUCAGUAGAUCACGAAUUUGAAACUAGCUAGUAGAACGUUGGAAGGACUUUAUACACAAACUUAGAGAGGGUUUUACAAAGACCAGGUGCAACCAAAUAGGUAGUGAGGUACUGGUUACUAACUUGUCAUUUGCAGUUGCCUAGCAUUAUAGAUCAGCACAGUACAGACAAUAACUAACCGGACCAGCAGCUCUGCUCUCUGUUGCAGAGCCAGAGCCACCUGAUGAGUCCUCUGCAGGGAGUCAGAAUGGAGCAGAGCCUGGAAAGACAGAAAGUGAAAGACAAGUAACCUCUAUGGCCUGCUGGAGGCGCUCGUGCUCCCUCUGCAGCUGCUCAGCUUCAGACAGACAGCUGGAGUUCAACAUGCAGGACGACAGCAUGACCUCCCCCUCUGAGAUCCAACCCAGCACCUGAGACACAGACGGAGAGACAGACAGGUGGAGAUGAUCCCCUGCCUGGAUGUCACCUGGACCUGCAGAGUUACCUGCAUGCGGAGCUCCAGGUCUCGGGCUGCCUGGUAGAUCUCCUCCUCCUCACACUCUCCAGACUGGGCCAGCUGAUCUGCUGCUUCCAGAAGCUUCUCUGCAUUAGU
Long non-coding RNA from Siniperca chuatsi (mandarin fish), 879 nucleotides. RefSeq lists it as uncharacterized. The transcript has 3 exons. The record is from RefSeq and is a predicted model, not a curated record. Lineage: Eukaryota; Metazoa; Chordata; Actinopteri; Centrarchiformes; Sinipercidae.